Molecule: ribosomal RNA, 497 nt
Filed under: uncultured bacterium
Lineage: Bacteria
Description: partial 16S ribosomal RNA
Rfam family: Bacterial small subunit ribosomal RNA
Source: RNAcentral
GAUGAACGCUGGCGGCGUGCCUAAUACAUGCAAGUCGAGCGAACAGACGAGGAGCUUGCUCCUCUGACGUUAGCGGCGGACGGGUGAGUAACACGUGGAUAACCUACCUAUAAGACUGGGACAACUUCGGGAAACCGGAGCUAAUACCGGAUAAUAUAUUGAACCGCAUGGUUCAAUAGUGAAAGACGGUUUUGCUGUCACUUAUAGAUGGAUCCGCGCCGCAUUAGCUAGUUGGUAAGGUAACGGCUUACCAAGGCAACGAUGCGUAGCCGACCUGAGAGAGUGAUCGGCCACACUGGAACUGAGACACGGUCCAGACGCCUACGGGAGGCAGCAGUAGGGAAUCUGCCGCAAUGGGCGGAAGCCUGACGGAGCGACGCCACGUGAGUGAUGAAGGUCUUCGGAUCGUAAAACUCUGUUAUUAGGGAAGAACAAAUGUGUAAGUAACUAUGCACGUCUUGACGGUACCUAAUCAGAAAGCCACGGCUAACUACGUG